UACAGAGGGUGCGAGCGUUAAUCGGAAUUACUGGGCGUAAAGCGUGCGUAGACGGUUAUAUAAGUCGGGUGUGAAAGCCCCGGGCUCAACCUGGGAAUUGCAUUCGAGACUGCAUAGCUAGGGUGCGGAAGAGGGAAGCGGAAUUUCCGGUGUAGCGGUGAAAUGUGUAGAUAUCGGAAGGAACAUCAGUGGCGAAAGCGGCUUCCUGGUCCAGCACCGACGUUCAGGCACGAAAGCGUGGGGAGCAAACAGG
This 253-nucleotide ribosomal RNA is filed under the name uncultured bacterium. Its description in RNAcentral is "partial 16S ribosomal RNA". It matches the Rfam family "Bacterial small subunit ribosomal RNA", at positions 524 to 776 of the family's 1533-position model. The record is from RNAcentral.